AGUGGAGAAUCUUGCACAAUGGGGGAAACCCUGAUGCAGCAACGCCGCGUGAAGGAAGAAGGCCCUUGGGUCGUAAACUUCUUUUCUAAGGGAAGAUAAUGACGGUACCUUAGGAACAAGUCCCGGCUAACUACGUGCCAGCAGCCGCGGUAAUACGUAGGGGGCGAGCGUUAUCCGGAAUUAUUGGGCGUAAAGAGUACGUAGGUGGUUUCCUAAGCAUGGGGUUUAAGGCAAUGGCUCAACUGUUGUUCGCCCUAUGAACUGGGUUACUUGAGUGCUGGAGGGGAAAGCGGAAUUCCUAGUGUAGCGGUGAAAUGCGUAGAUAUUAGGAGGAACACCAGUGGCGAAGGCGGCUUUCUGGCCAGUAACUGACACUGAGGUACGAAAGUGUGGGGAGCAAACAGGAUUAGAUACCCUGGUAGUCCACACCGUAAACGAUGAGCACUAGGUGUCGGGUUCGCAAGAGCUCGGUGCCGCAGUUAACGCAUUAAGUGCUCCGCCUGGGGAGUACGUACGCAAGUAUGAAACUCAAAGGAAU
This 538-nucleotide ribosomal RNA is filed under the name uncultured bacterium. Its description in RNAcentral is "bacterial SSU rRNA". It matches the Rfam family "Bacterial small subunit ribosomal RNA", at positions 353 to 910 of the family's 1533-position model. The record is from RNAcentral.